Molecule: ribosomal RNA, 440 nt
Filed under: uncultured bacterium
Lineage: Bacteria
Description: partial 16S ribosomal RNA
Rfam family: Bacterial small subunit ribosomal RNA
Source: RNAcentral
CCUACGGGUGGCAGCAGUGGGGAAUAUUGCUCAAUGGGGGAAACCCUGAAGCAGCAACGCCGCGUGAAUGAUGAAGUCUUUCGGAUUGUAAAGCUCUUUUUUUAGAGAAGUAAAUGACGGUACCUGAGCAAUAUGCCACGUCUAACUUCGGUCCAGCAGCAGCGGUAAUACGGAGGGGGCAAGCGUUAUUCGGAUUCACUGGGCGUAAAGGGAGCGUAUACGGUUGAACAAGUCAGUUGUGAAAUGCUGAGGCUUAUCCGUAGAAUUGCAAUUGAAACUGGCAAACUAGAGUACAGUCGAGGUAGGCGGAAUUCGUGGUGUAGCGGUGAAAUGCGUAGAUAUCACGAGGAACACCGAUUGCGAAGGCAGCUUACUAGACCGUGACUGACGUUGAUGCGCGAAAGCGUGGGGAGCAAACAGGAUUAGAUACCCCAGUAGUC